This 67-nucleotide microRNA precursor is filed under the name Bombyx mori (domestic silkworm). Its description in RNAcentral is "mir-2774 microRNA precursor family". It matches the Rfam family "mir-2774 microRNA precursor family". The record is from Rfam by way of RNAcentral. Lineage: Eukaryota; Metazoa; Arthropoda; Insecta; Lepidoptera; Bombycidae.
ACAUAACCUGGACCGUCGGUUUACCGAGCAAUUCCACCCGCUCGGUGGAAGAUCGUCUCUUGUAAAA